Molecule: ribosomal RNA, 174 nt
Filed under: uncultured bacterium
Lineage: Bacteria
Description: partial 16S ribosomal RNA
Rfam family: Bacterial small subunit ribosomal RNA
Source: RNAcentral
GAAUCGCUAGUAAUCGCGGAUCAGCACGCCGCGGUGAAUACGUUCCCGGGCCUUGUACACACCGCCCGUCACACCAUGAGAGUCUGUAACACCCAAAGCCGGUGGGAUAACCUUUAUAGGAGUCAGCCGUCUAAGGUAGGACAGAUGAUUAGGGUGAAGUCGUAACAAGGUAUC